CCAAGAUUUAAGAGUUGUUAAGCCCGCAACUCUUUUAGACGAUUGUGAGCUAGAUGAAGUAGAGGUUGGAAUAUUUGGCCUAGCAUGCUCUAAGGCAACUUUAUAAGCAUUAUAAACUAUUUGAACAUUAAUUUUAAUUGAUGCUUUUGCAUUUGCAAGUGUAGCAAUAUCCUCGUUUGAAAGAUCUAAAGCCUUAUAAAUAUUUGAAUACCAAAAGUGAGGACCUUCCAAUUUCAUUGUAAGAUUUAACAUUGCAGCAACACCAAAAAUAGGACGGAUAGAGAAAAAAGUAUUUUUUAAAUUUUUGUUUCAUUUCAUUUAUAGCA
Molecule: long non-coding RNA, 326 nt
Filed under: Nicotiana benthamiana
Lineage: Eukaryota; Viridiplantae; Streptophyta; Magnoliopsida; Solanales; Solanaceae
Description: long non-coding RNA (NBEN_LNC001965)
Source: RNAcentral